Molecule: long non-coding RNA, 2049 nt
Filed under: Coffea arabica (coffee)
Lineage: Eukaryota; Viridiplantae; Streptophyta; Magnoliopsida; Gentianales; Rubiaceae
Description: long non-coding RNA (CARA_LNC005749)
Source: RNAcentral
AAACAAGGUGAGUUUUGGCCAACUCUUGGGAGAAAAGAAGAAAGGAAAAAUCGAGAGAAACAAGUGGAAAAACAAGAGAAAAAUUCUGGUUUUGUGCAACCCAUCCAACAAGUUUGGGAGUUAGAGCAAAAGAAAGCUAAGGAACUUGAUUCUUGAAGUGCAACCUUGUGAACCCACCUUUGGAAGGUAAAGCAGCCUUGAACUCUUGUAAAAACUUAUAGCAAUUGAGUAGAAAUGUUGAUUUUGAUGUUGUAAGAUGCUAAUAAGGGUUAAUGAUGGUUUAUAUAUCACUUUUGUGGGUUUGUGUGGAGGAUUUGGUGAUUUCUAUGGUGGUUUGAGAAAAUUCCAGAAUUGAGAUUUCUUAUGGUUCAGUUCUGCCCGUUUCUGUUUGAGUAUGUUAGGGACCGAAUUAGCCUCAGUUCAAAACAUGAAAGUUGUAUAGAAUAAUGUUUUAUAGUUGCCUGCAAAAUUUCAGCUCAAUCGGAGCAACGUAGCUUGUAAAAAGACCGAAAUACCCCUGACUACCAUAGGUUUAGUCCAAUGGACAGUUUUGACAGUGCAUCAAGUUGGUCACGUUUGUUCACCUUGAUACGUAAUGAAAUAGUAUUUAGUCAAAACAUAAAAGUUGUAGUGCUAUGUCUUAGCUUUCCAACGCCCCUGGAAUCACCUCGUUUGGACUUCGGUAGCCUGAGUUAUGGUUGUUUACGUAUAAUGCGGUUAACUAGCCUGAAUGUGAGAUUUUGGUUCUGUAAUCCGGACUUUUGACUUAGAUACACUACAAACUGGACUGAGUGGUCUUCAUCAAUAUUGUAACCCUCUGCCUUAGCUUCGAAACGGUAUAAAUUUUACCCCAAUCCGAUAAGCGUAGCUUUGGUUGUGCCCGUUACGCUAAGCGACGGCAAAUCUGUCUUUUGUUUUAUAACUUAAACUUCAUUUCCGGAUAUUUUCCUAGUUUGAUUUCGUACUUGUGUGACUUUGAGCCUAUUGAACGGCUAUUGAAAUGAGAUGAUUUUGUAUAUGAUUUUGGGGCUUUAUUAUGAUUGAGUUGAGAUGUGAUUUGUAAUGUCUUGUAGGAUGGAAAAUAAGGAAUUUAAGGGGAAGUGCUGUUCAAUCUUUUAGAACGUUUAAUCGCUGUGAGUUUGGGUUAAUUCGUGGUAGAAUGAAGAGCUUGGACUUGAUCGAGGAAAACUGUCUAUGAUGGAUGAGUAUUAAGAGCCGUGGAUGGUGAGUGACCCCAAACUAUUUCCAAAACUACUUAUGAAUUGUUUCUUGCAUUAUUUACUCGAUUGCAUAUCAUGUGUGCUUGCAUGUGAGUUCAUGACAUGAUUUGGCUUCAAUGAAUUCUUGAGAAGUCUUGUGCCGAACACCAACGUCUCCAUCACUGUUUACUUGGAUCAAAUGGCUCCCUAUCACUGGAUCAAUUUGAGCGUUGGAUGUUUAAGUACAAUGAUUUCACUGGCUCACAAGGGCAAUAAACGUAUAUUUGAUUCCUGAUUCAUGAUAUCAUUGAAAUGAACUAUUGUGAAACUUAUUUCACUACUGAUUUUACUGGUUACUCGGUGAGUUUCUAACUCACCCCAAAAAUAUUUUUUUGUCCCCUCCACAGGGCUCGAGGCAAAGGAAGCGCUUGUAUUACGUUAUUUGUGGGACUGGAUGGCAUAUAUUUUGUACAGUUUAGAUUUGGAUUCAUUUUGUGUAAUAGUUGGGCUAGUGUGACUGUUUGGAAUUGAAAUGGAUGUAUGUGUACGUUCCACGCUUUAGAAGUAGUUUUUGCUUCGCUUAUGAUAUGUAAAUUUGAGGAACAUUUGAUGUAUAUUUGAGAUUUAUAUUGUAAUUGAAUUGAGGAUUGUAGUGAGUGAGUGAGUCCCGGCGAGAGUUGGGCAGGCGAUCCGCCAAACCCUUUGGUUCGCCUUAGGGGGAGGUGGGGCUGUCAUAGUUGGUAUCAGAGCUUAGGUUUUCGAUCUCUGUAGUGUAUCCUAGGCUUCAAGUUUAGGAUGCCGGACUGUGGAUCUGAUGAAAUAUCAGUGAUUUCUUGUAGGAAUGAAAAUC